Raphanus sativus (radish) is the source of this 1365-nucleotide RNA transcript. RefSeq lists it as uncharacterized. NCBI's taxonomy places the organism in Eukaryota, Viridiplantae, Streptophyta, Magnoliopsida, Brassicales, Brassicaceae. The record is from RefSeq and is a predicted model, not a curated record. The transcript has 5 exons.
AUUAUCCUCCUCACUUCAUCUUCUCCACUUCGACUUCUUGCAACAUCCGUUACCACGUUCCCACUUCUUAUCAAUCAAUAGUUUUCUAAAAUUCUCUUAAUGAAUUCGUUUCGCAUCCCUCUCUCUCACCCUUUAUAUACUGUUCUUUCUUCACUUGCUACACACCAUGACCUGAGAACCUGCUCAAAUCAAGCUCCAGCAUAGUCAUGAAACCAAACGGCAAGUCCCCUGUCUCCUCCUCCAAUGAUCAGGAAGUUAUGUUCUUCAAAGAUAUCUUACCAGUACAUUUAUCUCGGAUGAAUGCAACCGUUUCAUCUUUCAAAAAGUGUAUGUUUUAUCAUACUUCUGAAGAUGCAAGGUUAUUAUGUCGUUGGCAACAUGAAACUGGUCAAUGGACAGUCUCACAUUGAGCGUCGUAUCCUUGACGAAGAGGAAAUAGCAACCACUCCACGUGUUAUGGUUCAUCUGCAAUCACAAGAGGACCUGUUAUGAAGCUUUACUUUUGGGAAAAGACUGCAACAGACUUCUGCAAGAAAUUUACAGCCUAUAAAAACACUCCCACCUUGCUUUUAGUCACGAAGGUGAACACGAAACAUCUUGGAGAGUGCUCUUCAAGCAGCCUGUCACAGCUGUCGAGAUCUUGCAGAUGAGGGGAAUAAUAGUACCUGUCACAGUGACGACCAAAGAAAGCAAAGCGUCCUAAACAUGGAAAUGAGAGCUUUCACCACUCAUCUCAGAGAUUUCACCCCUUCGUUUGCAGUUUCAGUCUUCCUAUUUCAGUUUGAGCAUUGGCUAAGGCUUUCGCCAUAGUUAACAUCUUUCAGUGUUUGAUUUGCCUUUUCUCAGUGAGAUAAGCCUGAAACGCAGUCAAGCUCUGAGUGCAGGAAGCACAAGGAGUAUUACUCUCAAGGGAGAGGUUACAUCUCAUCACAGCCGUACUCAACGUGGAGUUAGGGAUCAUGGCUUCGAACUGAGACCUCGUGGUGAUGUUCAUACAUCCCUGUGAGAUCCACGGCGCCUGGAAACCACAUCUUGAUCUGACAUCAAAGCGAGGGAGGAACCCGGAGAUGGAGGACUGUAAAGCGUCCCAGCAAGAAGCGGCGGAGGAGAGUGAACCUGUCUGUCGGAGGUGGUGAGAGUAGACGAGACGGAGGCCUUGGAGGAGGUACUGGCAAAUAAAAAAUAUUUGGUAAUUUUUUCAGUUUGAGCAUUGGCUAAGGUUUUCGUUUUAGUUAACAUCUUUCAGUGUUUGAUUUUUCUUUUUCCCCUGCAAUCAGUUUACAUAUUUGGUAAUUUUUUAUUAUGUGAUGAUUAUAAGCUUUUAAAACAAUCACUUGGUAUUUUCAAUUAUAAUUGUGGUUUCUC